This 325-nucleotide long non-coding RNA is filed under the name Homo sapiens (human). Its description in RNAcentral is "non-protein coding lnc-MKL2-4:1". Lineage: Eukaryota; Metazoa; Chordata; Mammalia; Primates; Hominidae. The record is from RNAcentral.
UUAAUUAUAGUCACCAUACAGUACUACAGAAGCCUAGAACUUACUGCUCUCAUCUAGCUGUAAUUUUGCUAAUCCGUUAAUCAACCUCUCCCUGCCCCCUCUCCCCGCUACCUGGAAGGGUCUGCCUUGUAAGCUAUAGGCUUUGGUUUUGCUGAGCUGAGUAUUCAGGUGGUCAUGGCUGAUAUUUUAGUAUAAGUGUUAGGAUGCUAGUCAGAUGACCCAAGGACAGGACGACAAGCUCUGCCCUCCACACAGAUGCAAUCUAAUGACAGAGGCAUCCAGUCGGCAGGUGCAAGGCCAUUUGCAGGGCCACACUGUGGAAGAU